This is a non-coding RNA of Triticum aestivum (bread wheat), 115 nucleotides long. The record is from Rfam. Lineage: Eukaryota; Viridiplantae; Streptophyta; Magnoliopsida; Poales; Poaceae.
CAAGUACUCCCUCCGUCCGGAAUUACUUGUCAUCAAAAUGGAUGUGUCUAGAACUAAAAUACAUCUAGAUACAUCCAUUUCAAUGACAAGUAUUUUCGGACAGAGGGAGUACAAG